This 253-nucleotide ribosomal RNA is filed under the name uncultured bacterium. Its description in RNAcentral is "partial 16S ribosomal RNA". It matches the Rfam family "Bacterial small subunit ribosomal RNA", at positions 524 to 776 of the family's 1533-position model. The record is from RNAcentral.
GACGUAGGGUCCAAGCGUUGUCCGGAUUUACUGGGCGUAAAGGGCGCGUAGGCGGCGUGACAAGUCACUUGUGAAAUCUCCGGGCUUAACCCGGAGCGGUCAAGUGAUACUGUCGUGCUAGAGUGCGGAAGGGGCUACUGGAAUUCUCGGUGUAGCGGUGAAAUGCGUAGAUAUCGAGAGGAACACCUGCGGCGAAGGCGGGUAGCUGGGCCGACACUGACGCUGAUGCGCGAAAGCCAGGGGAGCGAACGGG